UGUAAAGAACACGGAAUCAUUUCAAGCACAUGCAGGAAGGACAUUCAAGAACCCUCCAAUCAGUCAGUGAAGAGCAUGUCAGAUUAUCACCGUGUUUUGUUCCUGCAGAAAGGAAGACAGCUAACUUGAUACACGACUUUUUUGCCUUUGGAUCACGGAUGACAAAAUCACUUGUGACAAAUUCUGCUGGGUGUACUGUCAUUGAACUACACUGAGACGUGUCAGAAUGACCAGCCCUGAGGCCUUCACUGUAGCAGAAACAUGGCUGAGGAAUGCCCUGCUGUGCUCAGAGAGCCCAAGAGAAGUCCUAUUUCUCGGCUCUUAGCCUGGCUUUAAUCUCCUGGAGCUUUUACUAUUGCAAACAUUUAUCCCCACUGUCUUGCUCUUGAGUACUUCGUCUGAACGACCUCUGAUCUACGGCAAUGGCCGUGUUCUUAGCCUCGUAAACAGCAAUGAACCAACCCCAUGCUACUGUAGCUUUCUGGUUUUACUGUAGUUAUUAAAAAGCAAAUAGAAAAGAUUUAAACAAUUUAAAGAUGAUCCUUUUGCCAUGAACAAGUAUCACGGUGCUAGCAAAUGGGUUAAUUGAGCCUCAGCAUUGUGCCUGGCACACGGGAAGCAGACUGGAAAAGUCACUAGUCAUCUGGUGCACUGAGAGCUACAUAGGAGCAGAGAGAUUAUGAUGUUGUACUAAUCAUUGUGACCUUUCUGGCCAGAGAGCCCACCUGGGCUCAGCUUGCUACCAAGUGAGGUGACUGAGUCCGACAGAAU
This 771-nucleotide long non-coding RNA is filed under the name Rattus norvegicus (Norway rat). RNAcentral's name for it is "long non-coding RNA NONRATT007724". The record is from RNAcentral. Lineage: Eukaryota; Metazoa; Chordata; Mammalia; Rodentia; Muridae.